GAGAGAGAGAGAGAGAGAGAAUUCUAAAGAAAUUAGGUAUUAAUUAAAGAUAUUCAAUGGCAUUAAUCAAUUUAAGACGAAAAUAACUAUAUAUGCUAUCUAUUUUCAGUUAGCUACUUAUAUGAUGUUUUGCUUCAAUUAGAACCUAGUUGAACAUCUAAGCACACAACCUAUGCCAUCCCAUUUGUUGGUUUCAACAUCUCAUGGUUUUAUAUGAAUUCUAUUGUGGAAAAUCCCGCAAGUGCACGGAUCAUAAUAAGUAAUAAAAUAGUGAGUAGAGUAUUAUUCUCAAGUGGAAUCUGCUUUUGAGUACCAAACUACACAAUAUUUGUAAUUAUCUAGACUACCGAAAUCGAAGAGGAAUUAUAACUAAACUGAUUAUGGCUAGAGAAUGAAUAAAAGCAAGUUAAAUAAACUGAAAAUAUCAACUAAUAAAGGCAUUCCAGAAUUAGAUGCUCACACUUCAAUCAAUUAUAGAUCUUUCUAACUUAUUCAAUAAAUUGGGAAUUGCUACUUUGAAGGAAAUUAAUCAUAAAUUACCUAAAGUCUUUUCUCAAGGCACUCAAGUUAUAUUCUAAUUAACUUAAACCCUAUUUUCGUGGAGAUUAAAUUAAUUGAAAUCCUUUAAAAUCUUUGACUAAUUAUAAAUUCCAUAUAGAAUCUCGGCUUAUCUCUAUAUCAAAAAUCCAAGGUUCAAAAUCUUGAUUAUCCAAUAUUAAUUUUCACCUUUUAAUCUUUCAAUUAAUAUCUAUAAUCACUACUAAGUGAAGCUGAACACAUAAUAUGCAUUAAAACACAAGAAAUUGAAUCAAAGAAUGA
Molecule: unclassified non-coding RNA, 819 nt
Filed under: Hevea brasiliensis (rubber tree)
Lineage: Eukaryota; Viridiplantae; Streptophyta; Magnoliopsida; Malpighiales; Euphorbiaceae
Source: RNAcentral